UGAGGAAUAUUGGUCAAUGGGCGCAAGCCUGAACCAGCCAAGUCGCGUGAGGGAAGACGGUCCUAUGGAUUGUAAACCUCUUUUGUCAGGGAGCAAGCCCGGGCUGCGGUCCGCGGUUGAGAGUACCUGAAGAAAAAGCAUCGGCUAACUCCGUGCCAGCAGCCGCGGUAAUACGGAGGAUGCGAGCGUUAUCCGGAUUUAUUGGGUUUAAAGGGUGCGUAGGCGGGCUUUUAAGUCAGUGGUCAAAACGGCAGGCUCAACCUGCUGUCGCCAUUGAAACUGGGGGCCUUGAGUGAGCGAGAAGUAUGCGGAAUGCGUGGUGUAGCGGUGAAAUGCAUAGAUAUCACGCAGAACUCCGAUUGCGAAGGCAGCAUACCGGCGCUCAACUGACGCUGAAGCACGAAAGCGUGGGGAUCGAACAGG
This 423-nucleotide ribosomal RNA is filed under the name uncultured bacterium. RNAcentral's name for it is "bacterial SSU rRNA". It matches the Rfam family "Bacterial small subunit ribosomal RNA", at positions 355 to 776 of the family's 1533-position model. The record is from RNAcentral.